UCAAAAAUAGUUUAAUAUUAAAAUUUUAAUUUUGGAGAUUAAAGAUAAAUAUGUUUUUUUUUGAA
This 65-nucleotide transfer RNA is filed under the name Encyrtus sasakii. RNAcentral describes it as "tRNA-Pro". Lineage: Eukaryota; Metazoa; Arthropoda; Insecta; Hymenoptera; Encyrtidae. The record is from RNAcentral.